AAGCAAGAUAGUGAUAUUAAGCAAAACCCAAAAAGCAGUCUCAGUUCGGAUUGAAGGCUGAAAUUCGCCUUCAUGAAGCCGGAAUUGCUAGUAAUGGCAGGUCAGCAUACUGCCGUGAAUACGUUCCCGGGCCUUGUACACACCGCCCGUCACACCAUGAGAGUUGGGAAUACCCGAAGCCUGUGAGCUAACUUUUAGAGGCAGCAGUCGAAGGUAGAAUCAAUGAUUGGGGUGAAGUCGUAACAAGGUAAC
Molecule: ribosomal RNA, 252 nt
Filed under: uncultured bacterium
Lineage: Bacteria
Description: partial 16S ribosomal RNA
Rfam family: Bacterial small subunit ribosomal RNA
Source: RNAcentral